RNAcentral lists this long non-coding RNA (240 nucleotides) under Lathyrus oleraceus (garden pea). RNAcentral's name for it is "Pisum sativum (pea) long non-coding RNA (PSAT_LNC030034)". The record is from RNAcentral. Lineage: Eukaryota; Viridiplantae; Streptophyta; Magnoliopsida; Fabales; Fabaceae.
UUGAAUCAUGAGUACGGAGAAGGAAACGAUGAUCCAAGUUUGAGUGGAAUCCAUGUUUGAUUCCAUAAAAAACAUUGAGUUACAGAGGUUCAAAUUUCAGAAAUUCCAAGGUUGAAGACGAUGUUUGGUCGUUGCUUCGCGCGUGUUCUUUGUGCUUAAAUUCAAAUGUUUAAGUUGUCAUAUUUGUAUUGGUUGUUUUGUUUGACCUUGCCUCAGUGUGCGUGUGUGUGUAUGUGUUUG